This is a long non-coding RNA of Gallus gallus (chicken), 353 nucleotides long. Lineage: Eukaryota; Metazoa; Chordata; Aves; Galliformes; Phasianidae. The record is from Ensembl.
AAAAAAAAGAGAGAUAAUUUUUCCCUAAUAAGAUCUAGACAAGUUUAAUUCCUGAGCUGCUUGCCUUCCACUUUAUCCAGGUGCAGACAAGUGCCAGUUCUCUCAUCAUUCCUGAAGGAUAUUUCUUCUGCCCUAGAGGAAAGAAAAUGAAGAACUAGACUUCUAUUAUCAUCAGCAUAGUAGGUGGGCCCUGCCAAGAUGCAAACAAGAGUCCUACACGCAGAAGUACUACAGCUCCAUGGGGGAGGCUGCCUGUGUGUUGUUCUCAAGAUUGGUUUCCUGAUCUGAUGAUCACCUGAACAGAACAGGAUGAAGGACAAUGCAGGCCUGGCUGGAGUGCCCCUUUGAGAUGC